CCUACGGGAGGCAGCAGUGGGGAAUAUUGCACAAUGGGGGAAACCCUGAUGCAGCGACGCCGCGUGAGUGAAGAAGUAUCUCGGUAUGUAAAGCUCUAUCAGCAGGGAAGAAAAUGACGGUACCUGUAUAAGAAGCACCGGCUAACUACGUGCCAGCAGCCGCGGUAAUACGGAGGGGGCAAGCGUUAUCCGGAUUUACUGGGGGUAAAGGGAGCGGAGGCGGCGGUGCAAGUCCGGAGUGAAAGCCCAUGGCUUAACCAUGGUACUGAUGUGGAAACUGUUGAGCUUGAGUGCGGGAGGGGCAGGCGGAAUGCCUAGUGUAGCGGUGAAAUGCGUAGAUAUUAGGAGGAACACCGGCGGCGAAGGCGGCCUUCUGGACCGUAACUGACGUGGAGGCUCGAAAGCGUGGGGAGCAAACAGGAUUAGAUACCCCGGUAGUC
RNAcentral lists this ribosomal RNA (440 nucleotides) under uncultured bacterium. Its description in RNAcentral is "partial 16S ribosomal RNA". It matches the Rfam family "Bacterial small subunit ribosomal RNA", at positions 338 to 795 of the family's 1533-position model. The record is from RNAcentral.